Clarias gariepinus (North African catfish) is the source of this 568-nucleotide long non-coding RNA. RefSeq lists it as uncharacterized. Lineage: Eukaryota; Metazoa; Chordata; Actinopteri; Siluriformes; Clariidae. The record is from RefSeq and is a predicted model, not a curated record. The transcript has 6 exons.
CAAAUUAAUUCACGUUUUAUGUUUUUUAGAAACCCAAGCUGCAGCAGAAGAUGGAGGAGCUCCAGAAGGAGAACACCAAGCUGCAGCAGAAGAUAGAGGAGCUCCUGAAUCGGAAAACCGAGAGGCUGCAGGAGAUAAAGGAGCUCUUGAAUCGGAUAACCGAGUGGCUGCAGCGGUGUAAGGAGCUCCUGGAUUAGGAAGUUCCUUCACCACUCGCAGGGGUGGAUCCUUCAUAAAGAACCAGGUACCACAACCAGCUGCACCAAUCAAUGUGGCAGGAGCUGAUGAGGAUGACUGGGAGUUAAUUUUCGUUUGCUGCACCAAUCAAUGUGGCAGGAGCUGAUGAGGAUGACUGGGAGUUAAUUUUCGUUUUACAUUGAUUUUGCAGAAGCCUUCAACUGAAGGUUGCGUCUGCCCACUUUCAAUAAAUGGCUCUUUUCUGCCAGAUGUUUUCUGGCUACCUUUUGAGUAUUGUGUGUGUGUGUGUGUGUGUGUGUGUGUGUAGGCAUUAUUUGUCUAUGGAGGAAAAAAAAAAUUGUUUUGCUAGUCUGCCAUAUGAAUAAAUUCA